AACGCUGGCGGCGUGCUUAACACAUGCAAGUCGAACGAGAAUCUGUGGAAAGAGGAUUCGUCCAAUUGAAGCAGAGGACAGUGGCGGACGGGUGAGUAACGCGUGAGGAACCUACCUUUCAGAGGGGACAACAGUUGGAAACGACUGCUAAUACCGCAUAACAUAUAGAUGUCGCAUGGCAUUUAUAUCAAAGAUUUAUCGCUGAAAGAUGGCCUCGCGUCUGAUUAGCUAGUUGGUGAGGUAACGGCCCACCAAGGCGACGAUCAGUAGCCGGACUGAGAGGUUGAACGGCCACAUUGGGACUGAGAUACGGCCCAGACUCCUACGGGAGGCAGCAGUGGGGAAUAUUGGGCAAUGGGCGCAAGCCUGACCCAGCAACGCCGCGUGAAGGAAGAAGGCUUUCGGGUUGUAAACUUCUUUUGUCAGGGACGAGUAGAAGACGGUACCUGACGAAUAAGCCACGGCUAACUACGUG
RNAcentral lists this ribosomal RNA (475 nucleotides) under uncultured bacterium. Its description in RNAcentral is "bacterial SSU rRNA". It matches the Rfam family "Bacterial small subunit ribosomal RNA", at positions 32 to 507 of the family's 1533-position model. The record is from RNAcentral.